RNAcentral lists this unclassified non-coding RNA (333 nucleotides) under Hevea brasiliensis (rubber tree). Lineage: Eukaryota; Viridiplantae; Streptophyta; Magnoliopsida; Malpighiales; Euphorbiaceae. The record is from RNAcentral.
AUCCUAGCCACAAGGAUUAGAUUUAAAGGCAUCCUAUGUUACAAUCAAUCUAUUUGAAGCUUGAUUAUAAAUCUUCAACUCUUGAAGUCUUUUACUCACAUUGAUCCCCAUCAAUGUCUUGAACUCCUUUUCUUCUUGUAAAUUCCAUCAAUGUCAUACAUUUAAUUUUCUUAGCAUACCAAAGUGAAAUUACAAAAGAAAUGAACUCAAAUUGCUCAAAUAAAUAAAUUACAACCUUUAUGCAUCAAAAAUAAAAUUUAAUUAUUAUAUUCCUGUAAAAAUAAAUAAGAAAAUAAUCAUAUUGGUUUCCUAAGUCCAUGAUCAUCCUUUAUG